GUGGGGAAUAUUGGACAAUGGGCGAAAGCCUGAUCCAGCCAUGCCGCGUGAGUGAUGAAGGCCCUAGGGUUGUAAAGCUCUUUCACCGGGGAAGAUAAUGACGGUACCCGGAGAAGAAGCCCCGGCUAACUUCGUGCCAGCAGCCGCGGUAAUACGAAGGGGGCUAGCGUUGUUCGGAAUUACUGGGCGUAAAGCGCACGUAGGCGGAUCGGUCAGUUAGGGGUGAAAUCCCAGGGCUCAACCCUGGAACUGCCUUUAAUACUGCCGGUCUAGAGUUCGAGAGAGGUGAGUGGAAUUCCGAGUGUAGAGGUGAAAUUCGUAGAUAUUCGGAAGAACACCAGUGGCGAAGGCGACUCACUGGCCCGUUACUGACGCUGAGGCGCGAAAGCGUGGGGAGCAAACAGGAUUAGAAACCCCAGUAGUCC
Molecule: ribosomal RNA, 425 nt
Filed under: uncultured bacterium
Lineage: Bacteria
Description: partial 16S ribosomal RNA
Rfam family: Bacterial small subunit ribosomal RNA
Source: RNAcentral